Molecule: ribosomal RNA, 253 nt
Filed under: uncultured bacterium
Lineage: Bacteria
Description: partial 16S ribosomal RNA
Rfam family: Bacterial small subunit ribosomal RNA
Source: RNAcentral
UACGUAGGGUGCGAGCGUUGUCCGGAAUUAUUGGGCGUAAAGGGCUCGUAGGCGGUUUGUCGCGUCGGGAGUGAAAUCCACUGGCUUAACUGGUGGCUUGCUUUCGAUACGGGCAGACUGGAGGUAUGCAGGGGAGAACGGAAUUCCUGGUGUAGCGGUGAAAUGCGCAGAUAUCGGGAGGAACACCUAUGGCGAAGGCAGCUCGCUGGGACGUUACUGACGCUGAGGUGCGAAAGCGUGGGGAGCAAACAGG